Long non-coding RNA from Sciurus carolinensis (gray squirrel), 426 nucleotides. RefSeq lists it as uncharacterized. The transcript is spliced from 3 exons. The record is from RefSeq and is a predicted model, not a curated record. NCBI's taxonomy places the organism in Eukaryota, Metazoa, Chordata, Mammalia, Rodentia, Sciuridae.
UAAGAGAUGAUACACGUUCCAUCACCGAUGUGGAUUUCUGUGUUUGUUUCUGGUGGCUGGUCCCAGGAACCUCCUCCUGAACUGUUUGUCUUCUCAAUUCACCUCUGCCCUGUGCUUCUGAAGGAUCCUAAUGACUGUGACGGGCGCCUAUAACUGAUCGGAGCUGACACUGAGGCAUCUGCCCCUUCCCGCAGAUGACAAGGCUCCUCUCCUGUUGGAAGCGGUACUUCCCUCGGCUGCCCUGCGUCUUCCAGGUUCACCUGACUGCCUGCUUCUUUUCCAGGGUCUGACUUCUGGGUCCUCCUCACCACAGUCAGUUCCGAUCCAGGAGUGAUAUUAAUGGAAUGAUCUUCAGGGAAAAAGAAGGAAAUCUUUGUGUUUAUAUGAUGGAGUCUAGAGAAAGAAGUGGCAAGGCACCAUCCCUGC